GGUGCGGGGUGGGAGUUGGGGGGAAAAGUGGGGACACCCGCUCAGGAAUCCGCGUGAACUCAUCCAGGCUAGGUUCUCAGCAGCACAUUUAUGCAGCAGUGGCAUGAAUGCCAUCCGGGUCAUUGUCCAGCCUUGAGCUCUGGGACUGCAGUCCCGGCUCCCUUUCACUUGCCCCUGCUGAGAAGCCAGCCACUGACUCUGCUGGUUGGGCAUUUAUGGAGCAGCCAUUGUGUGAGCCACAGAGUUUGGGACCUGCCUGCUCAUCAGGAGGUAACAGGAGUCGGGGUUGAGACCAUUAGAAACCACAUCAAAAAGCAGCCUUUGGGGCUGAGCUGGUGUCGGACAGAUAAGGACUGAUUAGAUGCAGCGGGGGGAGGGGUUCUGGGCAUUGAGGAUAUUUAACUGAAAGCCGUGCUUCUCAGCGAGGGGCCGAACCAGCGGCAUUGGAGUCACCUGGGAACCCGUUAGAAAGGCAGGUGCCCAGACCCCACCCCGGAGACACUCAGUCGGAAACAUGGGCUGGGGCCUGGUGGUCUGUGUUUGAACAAGCCCUCCAGCGGAUUCUGAUGCAAACUGGAGUUUGAGAAUGCGGGUGAGAGGGAGCCUGGGUUCCAGGAAUAAACAGUCAAAUUCUAGAUCUCAGCUGCAUGUGCCAGCAUUUUCCGGAAUGGGGCCGUCUCCGAUAUUCUGUCUCCUUAGCUGACCAUGUAUCAGUUUGGAGAGAUGUGUCAUCACUCAAGCAUGGCCUAGGGACCAGCAGCCGCCGCCUCCCCCAAGCGUUCAACAAGCCCCGUCUCAGAAAUGCAACUGAGCCACCUGGAGUAAGCCCGAGUCCCAUCCCCAACAGCCAAAGACUGUCCGGCAUCUUAAAAGUUGGAUUUGGUGCCAUGGAGGGACAGACCCCAGGAAGCAGGGGCCUUCCAGAAAAGCCUCACCCUGCCACGGCUGCUGCCACUCUGUCCUCGAUGGGCGCUGUCUUCAUCCUCAUGAAGUCCGCGCUGGGAGCUGGCCUGCUCAACUUCCCCUGGGCCUUCUCCAAAGCGGGCGGAGUGGUCCCUGCCUUCCUGGUGGAGCUGGUCUCCUUGGUCUUCCUGAUCAGCGGGCUGGUCAUCCUGGGCUAUGCUGCUGCUGUCAGUGGCCAGGCCACCUACCAGGGUGUGGUCAGGGGGCUGUGUGGCCCUGCCAUUGGGAAGCUGUGUGAGGCCUGCUUCCUCCUCAACCUGCUCAUGAUCUCCGUGGCCUUCCUCAGGGUGAUCGGGGACCAGUUGGAGAAGCUGUGUGACUCCCUCCUGUCUGGCUCCCCGCCCGCCCCGCAGCCGUGGUACGCAGACCAGCGCUUCACCCUCCCCCUGCUCUCCGUGCUGGUCAUCCUGCCCCUGUCUGCCCCGCGGGAGAUCGCCUUCCAGAAAUACACAAGCAUCCUAGGCACUCUGGCUGCCUGUUACCUGGCCCUGGUCAUCACCGUGCAGUACUACCUCUGGCCCCAGGGCCUCGUGCGUGAGUCCCAUCCUUCACUGAGCCCUGCCUCCUGGACCUCUGUGUUCAGUGUCUUCCCCACCAUCUGCUUCGGGUUUCAGUGUCACGAAGCUGCCGUCUCCAUCUACUGCAGCAUGAGCAAACGGAGCCUCUCCCACUGGGCCCUGGUGUCUGUGCUGUCCUUGCUGGCCUGCUGCCUCAUCUAUUCACUGACGGGGGUUUAUGGCUUCCUGACUUUUGGGACAGAAGUUUCUGCUGACGUCUUGAUGUCCUACCCAGGCAAUGAUAUGGUCAUCAUUGUGGCCCGGGUCCUUUUUGCUGUCUCCAUCGUAACUGUCUACCCCAUCGUGCUCUUCCUGGGGAGGUCAGUGAUGCAGGACUUCUGGAGAAGGAGCUGCUUGGGGGGAUGGGGGCCCAGCGCCCUGGCCGACCCCUCAGGGCUGUGGGUCCGGAUGCCGCUGACUGUCCUGUGGGUCACCGUGACGCUCGCCAUGGCGCUGUUUAUGCCUGACCUCAGCGAGAUCGUCAGCAUCAUCGGAGGCAUCAGUUCCUUCUUCAUCUUCAUCUUCCCAGGGCCCCACACACAGUAAGUGCUGAGUACACAGUCGAGACUCCCUCAGUGCGUGUUCCGUGAGUGGACCCUGUGAUUCAGCCGCGACAGGAACCAUGCCAAGCAGACAUCGAGCCAGGUUUGUGCCUCAUCUGUGCAAUGGGCGUCGAGCCUAUAGGACCAAGAGUCAAGUGCUGCCUGGAGGUCUGGGGAGUGGUGUCUGUGCUGGUCGGCACCUUCAUCUUUGGGCAGAGCACGGCGGCAGCGGUCUGGGAGAUGUUCUGAUGGGCAGCCAGUGCCGGGCAGGAAGGGGCCCUCCGGGGCUGACCCUACGUGGCUGCUGUGUGCAGCCAGGAGACCGAUGUCAUUUCUUUUCGUCAUAAAGAUGCUGGAGAGACUGAU
Molecule: RNA transcript, 2428 nt
Organism: Pan troglodytes (chimpanzee)
Lineage: Eukaryota; Metazoa; Chordata; Mammalia; Primates; Hominidae
Gene: SLC38A8
Gene name: solute carrier family 38 member 8
Exons: 13
Source: RefSeq, a predicted model, not a curated record